UGUAGUGUCAACGAUGAUGCAUACAUGUCAAUUAUGGGUGUUGGCUUCAACAAUUCGCAUUGGUCUCAAACCAAUGACAUGCAUUUCGAAGACCAUGAGUUCGAGGUGGACGAGGAUGGUGAGGGCAUUGUCGACGCGCCAAAAGGAAGAGCGGGCAAUUACACCAACGCCGGAGACAUCUUACUAUGCAAUACUUGGUUGCAAGUGUCGAGGGAUCCAUCCGUUGGAGGUGAUCAAAGUAGAGAUGCUUAUUUGGGGGACGAAGACGAGGACGAGGAAGAAUCGUCUUCCGAAGAUGAGGACGAGGACGGGGAAGAAUUGUCUUUCGAAGAUGAGGACGAAGACGAGGACGAGGCUUGA
This 360-nucleotide ribosomal RNA is filed under the name Triticum aestivum (bread wheat). RNAcentral describes it as "partial small subunit ribosomal RNA". The record is from RNAcentral. Lineage: Eukaryota; Viridiplantae; Streptophyta; Magnoliopsida; Poales; Poaceae.